UCGAGAAUCUUCCGCAAUGCGGGAAACCGUGACGGAGCAAUGCCGCGUGAGGGAUGAAGGCCUUCGGGUCGUAAACCUCUGUCACCCGGGAUGAAUUUUGACAGUACCGGGACAGGAAGCCACGGCUAACUACGUGCCAGCAGCCGCGGUAAUACGUAGGUGGCGAGCGUUAUUCGGAUUCAUUGGGCGUAAAGGGUCCGCAGGGGGUUUGGUAAGUUUGGUGUGAAAUGCCAGGGCUCAACCUUGGACAUGCAUUGAAAACUGCCAGACUAGAGUGCAGGAGAGGAGAGUGGAAUACCAGGUGUAGCGGUGGAAUGCGUAGAUAUCUGGUAGAACACCGAUGGCGAAGGCAGCUCUCUGGACUGCUACUGACCCUCAUGGACGAAAGCCGGGGGAGCGAACAGG
RNAcentral lists this ribosomal RNA (405 nucleotides) under uncultured bacterium. RNAcentral describes it as "bacterial SSU rRNA". It matches the Rfam family "Bacterial small subunit ribosomal RNA", at positions 355 to 776 of the family's 1533-position model. The record is from RNAcentral.